Molecule: unclassified non-coding RNA, 1911 nt
Filed under: Daphnia magna
Lineage: Eukaryota; Metazoa; Arthropoda; Branchiopoda; Diplostraca; Daphniidae
Description: sodium-dependent noradrenaline transporter, transcript variant X2
Source: RNAcentral
AAUGAGGGGUUUACUCGUUAGUUACGUUCCUGCAUUUUGUAAUUUUGAAGGAUACUUCAACCAAAAACUAAUGGUAUGUUAUUUUCAAUUGUGUUAGUCCAUUGUUAUGUAUGUAUUGGAUUGCAAAUAUUUCAUACUGAUUGUUUUCUCUUUAUAUAACAACAACAGUUUACCUUGUCAUCAUCUAAGUAAGUUAGUAAUUUUGGCAAACUAUGUCUACCACUCAUCAUCAUGCUAUUGCCCAGUGAGAGUAUUCACAUUUUGCUUACCACUGUGUACUAGUCAUCAGACUUUUAUUGCUAUCAAUGUCAUGAACCUUGAUGCAGCUUGAUGCUGAUACUGUAGUUUACCAUUGUUUUUCAUCUGAGUGAGUGCAGCAUAUUCAUAUAUGUUGGGAAACAUCCACUUUUUCAUCAUCGAACAGUCAAACACUCCAAGACCCAAAAUCAUCAAACAUCUACCAAUCCAUCAAUUUUUCAGAAGACUUUUUUUGCACUCUUAUUUAGCCAAAGGAGAACUGCAAAUAUUUACCUUCCUUGAGCACAACACUGCCGUUUCGACAAUAUCUUCAGUCUCUCUCCAGUGGACCACACACUUGGACUUGCAUUUGCCGUCUAUCCCGAAGCCGUAGCUCGAUUACCCAUCGCUCCGUUAUGGUCAAUCCUGUUUUUCGUCAUGUUACUUACACUUGGAAUCGGAACGCAAUUUACCGUUUUGGAGACGGUUGUUACAACAAUCGUUGACUAAUGGCCACACAAGCUACGCGUGGGUACUGCUAGCCCGUGCCACUGUCAUGUUUCUACUUGGGCUUAGAAUGUGCACAAAUGGAGGCAUGUACGUACGUCUUACAGUUGAUCGAUACAUAUGCAGCUACGUUUUCCGCCCUGAUCGUCGGAAUGGCUGAAGUAUGCUUCAUCGCAUGGCAUUAUGGUAUCGAUCGAUUCCUUGACGACAUCAAACUAAUGCUCGAGCAUGACGCACCACCACGCUGGUAUUGGCGAUUCGUUUGGAAAUUUUUCACGCCCGUCAUCAUCGUCGCCAUUUUGGUGUUCACUUUGGUGGACUUCCGAACACUUACGUACGGCGAUUACACUUAUCCUUUGGAGGCAACCAUCGUAGGAUUUCUCAUUGCGUUGUCUUCUGUGGCCAUGGUUCCAAUUAUGGCAAUCUACAAGGUUUUCCAAUUGGAUGGGCCCAUUCUAGAGAAGAUCGUCAUGACUGGAACGAAAUGACGAAUGACGCCAUCGCCAUCACCAUCACCACCGUCUUCGCCUUCGCCUUCGCCUUCGCCUUCGCCUUCGCCUUCGCCUUCGCCUUCGCCUUCGCCUUCGCCUUCGCCUUCGCCUUCGCCUUCGCCUUCACGUUUACCCUUCACAGAAAAGUCGAUCACAAUUGGAUGUGGUUCAGCAAACAGCCCACGGCGAUGGUGGGAUUUCACCGUGGAUCGUCCUCGUGGUAUUGUUUUGUUUUGCAUUGUAUCUUGUAUGUAUAAGUUAACCCGUUGGCUGCCACCCCGUUUGCGUCCCAUUUUUUUUGUAGCUUUUAGGGAACCGGGCGCUGUUCUGCCCCAUGGCCAUGGGGGGAACAGUCGCCGCGCCUAAAGGCUUUGUGCCUUUAGGCGCCGUAGGCAAUGCACCAGUAGGGACUUCUCUUUGUCGGUGCGGUGAUAGAUUCCUGGGGUGUGCAUUCCCGGAAUGGUUUCUAUUGCCGUGCCAGCCCGGACUUGUCUUCGGACAAGUCCCACCUUGUUCGUGAUCCUUCAGACGCGAUGCGUAGCUAAUGUAGUUUAAGCAACCUACGGGUUGCAUGGCCUGGCAGCCAACGGGUUAACUUAAUUAAGUGUGUAUGUUUGUAUGUAUGUAUGUUUAUGUAUUUUACAUUUAUAUAAUAUGUAUUUUGUGUUGUAUUAAA